UACGUAGGCAGCAAGCGUUGUUCGGAGUUACUGGGCGUAAAGGGUGUGUAGGCGGUUCUUUAAGUUUGGUGUGAAAUCUCCCGGCUCAACUGGGAGGGUGCGCCGAAUACUGAGGGACUAGAGUACGGGAGAGGAAAGUGGAAUUCCUGGUGUAGCGGUGAAAUGCGUAGAUAUCAGGAGGAACACCGGUGGUGUAGACGGCUUUCUGGACCGUAACUGACGCUGAAACAGGAAAGCGUGGGUAGCAAACAGG
RNAcentral lists this ribosomal RNA (253 nucleotides) under uncultured bacterium. Its description in RNAcentral is "partial 16S ribosomal RNA". It matches the Rfam family "Bacterial small subunit ribosomal RNA", at positions 524 to 776 of the family's 1533-position model. The record is from RNAcentral.